This 702-nucleotide long non-coding RNA is filed under the name Fukomys damarensis (Damara mole-rat). Its description in RNAcentral is "lncRNA (ENSFDAG00000031209.1)". Lineage: Eukaryota; Metazoa; Chordata; Mammalia; Rodentia; Bathyergidae. The record is from RNAcentral.
GUGGCCGGCUUCCUGACUGGGAGACUGCUGUGGCAGAACAGUCGCACAGAGGGACAAAGAGCCACAGCUGUGGGACACAUGAAGGCCGCCAGCUGGGGCACAGCGGGGCAGGACAGACGGGCGGAGUCGCAUCUGCCACCGAGCUCCAGGGGCUGGGCAGGACUCGCCAUCCCACCUGCUGCUCUCCCUCUGUGGCUGGUUUUAUCCCAUUAUGCUAUUUAUUGGACCUUCUCCGGGAAGUUGCCUGGAAUAGCGAUGCCCAAGUUUCCCGCUCCGCUCCGUCUGACAGCUGGCGCGUGUCUAACAACACAAAGGCGGAGAAGAAAGGUUGCUCAUCAAAAUAUUUUGAAGGCAUUGCUGUCAAGCACGCAGACACACAACAUGGAUAAGUACUUGAGUUUCCCAACAGCGUCCAGAAGGAAAUCUUUCCAUCCUGGGGACAGCGAGUGAGUUUCAGAAAAGCUGGAUUCCGAAGCCCAUCCUCUUCCGAGGGCACAUUUCGACACACACGGGUGUGGACAUGCAUUUCAGGAUGACUAGCAUUUUAGCAAGGAUUUUGAUUUUGAGUGUGUCCUUUGUUUCUGUAGUAUGAAAAGAGCUGAUUUUAGUAAAUUUCCACCAAGAAAAUCAUACUCUCACAGACUUUGGAGCAAUAAAACCUGGAACAGCCAAGGCCAUGGUGGACAACUGGGGAGCUAAGAG